UUUUUCCUACGGGGCGCAGCAGUGAGGAAUAUUGGUCAAUGGGCGAGAGCCUGAACCAGCCACGUCGCGUGAGGGAGUACUGCCCUAUGGGUUGUAAACCUCUUUUGUCGGAGAACAAAACCCGGGACGUGUCCCGGACUGCGUGUAUCCGAAGAAAAAGCAUCGGCUAACUCCGUGCCAGCAGCCGCGGUAAUACGGAGGAUGCGAGCGUUAUCCGGAUUUAUUGGGUUUAAAGGGUGCGUA
RNAcentral lists this ribosomal RNA (243 nucleotides) under uncultured bacterium. RNAcentral describes it as "partial 16S ribosomal RNA". It matches the Rfam family "Bacterial small subunit ribosomal RNA", at positions 333 to 573 of the family's 1533-position model. The record is from RNAcentral.